Molecule: long non-coding RNA, 4921 nt
Organism: Anas platyrhynchos (mallard)
Lineage: Eukaryota; Metazoa; Chordata; Aves; Anseriformes; Anatidae
Source: RefSeq, a predicted model, not a curated record
GGCUGCGGCGGGGCUGGGGGGGGCCGGCACCCCGGGGGCGGCCGAGCGCGGUGCCCCCGGCCCGGCCCGGCCCGGCCCUGCGAGCGGUGCAGCCCCGGUUCCGCCGCCCGCAGCCCCUCGCCGGCGCUCCGAGCCGGGGAGCCGCGAAGGCUGCGCUGGCGCCCCGCGCCCCGCCUCGGCACGCGCGGUCGCUGCCGGGGUGAGUGCCCGGGGCGGCCUCGGGGCUCCGCGCGGUGCCCGCUCGGAGCCUGCCCGGGGAGCGCGGGGGCUCCGCGGGCCGCGCCCUGCCCUGCCCUGCCCUGCCCUGCCCUGCCCUGCCCUGCCCUGCCCUGCCCUGCCCUGCCGGCCGGAGCGCCGUGUCCCGGCGCCUCGCCUCGCCGGCAGCAGCUGGCAGCGUCCUGCGGGAGAGCGCCGCCGCCCCGUGCCGCCGCCCCGUGCCCCACCGCUGGCUGCGCGUCCCGGUUCUGUGUCGGGGGGGUUCUGUGUCGGAGCGUUGGUGCUGUGCGGAGGCGGCGGGCUCCCCACCGUAAGUACUAGCGUGGCGUAUUUUAUUCCUGCGUGAUUUUGUAGGUGGCGGUUUGGGGUUGUGUUCCUCCCUCCGGGUUGCACCGAGUUCCUGUAGCAAUAAUGUAUUUUCCAGCUUUGUUUAUGAGAGGCCCAGAUUUACCGCCACCGUUGGCGUUUGGCUGCUCAGAGGCUGCCCCGCUGGAGGCUGCAGCGGCGUCCUCCGAACGGGCGUGCUGGGGCGGCUCCUGGGUCGUGCCCGCAAUCCAAGUGGGGAGGGUGGGGUGGCGCCUCCCUGCCGAGCGGGGCAGCCCGGCCUUCCUUGGGCUCCAUUGGGGUUCCUGGGAGGCUGUUGAACUAUGAAGUGGCCUUCCACGCCGUUUGCUUUGAAGCUUUAAUUCAGGAAGUUGGAGCUCAUACCUGAAUUUCCCGAGGCAUAGAAUACAGCGAUUGAAACUGUCUUUUCCUGUGGCUACAUCUCCCAUGCCUUUGCCCCUCUGAAUUUGGACCACACCAGAACUUUGCUUUAUACUUUUCCUGCCAUCCAUGGCAGAUGCUUUUUGAGUUGGAUUCAUCAGGACAAGGCACUCUACAAAUACCAUUACAAAAAAAUUGUACUGAAUUCUUUCCAUUUGUUGUGUCAUCAGCAUGGCAGGAUGACAGCACUGAAAACGACAAGUAGAAAAGGCAAAAAGGCCUAUCUUUUCAGAGAUUGCUUUGACAGUAGGAAUGGAAGAAUAGGGUGCAACUGGGAGUCCUCAGCAAGGGAAACCCUUGCUGUGUCUGAUUCUCUCAGGGCUCUGGUGUGAGGAGCAAUAACUGAAGUCAGGAGCAGAGCUGGACGUGGCUGAGGAGGGGGUGCCUGCUCCCAUGGGAUGCUGUGCACUUGUCUCUUGCAAAGUGGGUCACUGAUGUUCUCAGAUCUGCUGCUUUCUGUUUGGAGCCUUUAUUGUAGGAAAACCCGCACAUGAAGAAAGGAAGAAACAAGAAAAUGGAAAACAAACCAGAGUUAUGUCCAUUAAAUUCUUCUGAGGAAAUGCUGGCCUGCCUUCUUCAAGUAUUCAGACCUGCUGCAGAAUAUCCAAGGCAGGUUCUCUGGUCAGCAGUAAUUCUGGGGUCUGGUUCUGCUCUCCCUCAAGAGCUGUCAGUCUUCAGGCAGCCUGUUGCUUUGUGCUCCUUCCACACAGGAGCAGACGAGCUCAUGAAUGAAACAUUACUGAUACUAAAGAGAACUCCUGGCAUCCACCUCAGCAGAAGAAACUGACUUAUCAUUCAUUGAAGACAUCUGCACUUAUACAGGGAAUGCAUACUCACACAACAGUGCCAAGCCAAGGCUACCAUUGGAGGAGAGGGACAGAAAAGGGAGAGGAAAAGGGGUGGAGGAGAGGAGAAGGAUGAGAAGGAAAAGAGGAAGAGGUGAGGGAGAUGUUCCCCUGCUACAUACAGAUGCUGCACUGCCUGCCAAAACAGCCCAGCCUGUGGGUUGCCCUGAGAGUGCCUGUUUAGCCACCCUUGGAGGAAUUGCCACCUGACCUCCUCCAGUUGGGCUCCGUUUUGACCCUAAACCUAAAAAACUUUUGCAGUCUUUAAAUACUGAAAUGGUUUGCUCUUUUUUUUUUUUUUUAAUUAUUAUUAUUAUAGAUAUUACUCAAAAUAGACCUGCAAGUGCAAGUUUGAAAUGUUUCAUUUCAAACACAGGUACAACAUAAAUGCAGUUGGAGUGGAACUUGUCUUGCAUCAAGAAAUCAAAGCAGGCAUGAAGGAAGAGAAGGAACAGUGUAUGACUGUUCCGUGGGGCAAGAUGGAUUGACCAUAUGUUGGUAUCCAGGACUUUAUGCAAAUUCUGUGUCUAUGAAAGUUACCUAAUUAAGUUGAGUUCCUGAAACAUCUCAAAUGGGGAUUUACACAAAUUGUCUUUGAACUGAUGUUCACUGCUGCUACCUGCACGUGUCCAGGAACUGCUUGGCUGCACGUGUGGCUGAGCCACCCAAGGCAGCUGUGGUGCAGCAGGAGCUGGAGGGGGCACAGCACCAACAUGCCACCAGUUCCUGGUGUCUGUGUUUGCUGUGGAGACACCUGAGGAAGGUCUUUUCUCAGAAGAACCGUGCCUUACAGAGUGUGCAGGAGGGUCUGUCUCCACUUCAGCUGUCAGCCAAACAGUGCAUGUCCCAGAAGGAUAUCCUUGAGCUUUUUCCAGUCAUCUUGCCUCUGACUGCUACUCCAAAAGCAACAAAUGUCUAGUAAGCAUCCAAGUGCCCUGCAAACCAAUGAACCUUAUUUUCAACUUGAAUCUGGAGCAACUGUAGUGAAUAAAUCAGUUUUUCUGCAUUUGAUCUGGUAUGUGGUAGGUGACUGCUUCGUCCAGUGCUUCUAGUAUGAUGCCUUAAAAACUUGAAACCUGGGAAGAGCUGCAAUAUCUUGCCAGGAAUUCAGAUGACCAUGAGGAGCCUUUGUUCAGCACUUAGCCAUUUAUGUACAUAGAUAGCAUUGAUCAUCUGGUGUACACAGAAAACCAUGUGAAGCUUCAGAGGAGAGCUGUAGAUAUGUUCCUUGUUCUUCAGAGGUCACUUGGCAACACUGCAUGGAAGUUGGGAUUAUGUGACCAUCCCAAGGCUUUGACACAUCAGUUCAUUUAAAUCCAGUUUUAAUUUCCUAUUUAUUAUCACAUAGCUUAUUGGUUUGUUAGAGACACAAAUUUGUAAUGCCUGGAAGGAAAAGCUGCAGUGUCAACUCACCUUUAACUUUAGACUUUGGAGAAACCUCACAGAAAGCAAUCAGAGAUCUCCAGGUUUAGAAGCCCUGCUGUUUGUUUGUCUACUUGCUGUGCAUGUGUGUCUGUGUUUAGAGACGUGUUUUUUUUGUUUGUUUCUUUGUUUGUUUGUUUUCCCAAAAGCUUGGAAGUGGCUGAGAAUUAUAAGAAUCUACUGAAAUGUGUAUUUGAAAAUCUCAUCCAUUCUCAGGGCAACAGUAAACUAUACCGAUUUUGUAAGAACAGACAAAUUUUGAAGGUAUGAGCCUUUGAUGCUCAGCCCCAAAGCACUGCCAUGUGGCCAGGCAUUCUCAUCCACAGGCUGGGAUUUCUCAAGAGGUGCCAGCCCAGCUGUUUGUACAAUUACAGACUUCUAAAAAGCUACCUCAUUUUUCCCCCAAUUUCAAUGUGUUUUCGUUUAACAAAUAAAGUAGCUGGAAAAUUACCCAGAAAUAUCUGACCUUUGGAAAGACCUCUAAGGCACAGUGCAAUUACCUGAUGUUCACUGAACUGGUUCACGUGGUUCCCACUCGGAGUGAUUUUCUAGGUUCACCCAACUGUGAAGAGGGGUCUGGUUAUAUGGAGGAGGGCAAAGGAGAGAAUAAACUUCAUGAAGGAGCAAGAAAUCCGUCAGGGAAUUUUACAACUUAAGUUUGCUUCAAGGGAAAGAAAGGGCAAGUAAAGGUACUCACUCAAGUCAAAGAAGCCUUUUGGAUUUGAACUUCAAAAAGAAGUAACAGAGGAAAGAUCUGAGGUAUCAGUAGCUUUUAGUAUAAACUGUUUCAUUGCAUUAGGCAGGCAUUGCAGACUACAUCAAACUUAGCUUUUUUAGCCACAUGACCAAUUCUGGUUUUUUUCCUUUUUUUUUUUUCUUUUUUCCCCAAGUAUGAUAAAAAUCUAACAAAAAUAACAUUUUUCACUUUCAGCUUUUCCUUCCUUCUGUCUUUGCUUUCACCACACAUGGGAGAUAACUUGACUAUCCCAUCACCUGUGUUCACUCCAGGGGCUUGCCAUGGUGUUUCUGCAGCCCUUUCUAUUGCAUGUUCCUUGACACUGGAACAAAGUAUGUGAGUUAUCUGGCGCUGCAAUCUCUAUUGGGCUUUAGGGAAAAUACCUUUCUAAGGAAAUAAAUUCCAUGGUUGGCACAAGUGUGCCUCUACUAUGCAUUCUUUUUUUUUUUUUUUUUUUUCAUCAGUGGAAGGUGUAAGCAGGUGUACAUAAAAGUAUGACUUUGAUAGCUUCGUAUUGUCAGGGACACAAAGUGGUGUUUUUGCCUGCUGUCCCCUCUGCUCUGAACUGCCAGCAGCACUAGAGGGGAAUGCAGGGAGACGGACCUUCGUACUUCGUGAGAACUGUAAUAUCUGAAAACCUGAAGACUCCUUAAAACUAGGGAGAUGGAUUUCUGUCUUUGAUGAGAGAGAGCACAGUAUGCAAAAGGACGUACAUUUGCACAAAAGAAAAUUAUUUUGAAUACUUUUGGAAUAGAAGGACUUCCACAAAUAAAAGCAAGUAGUCAGUGCCCCUUCUGCCUUUGUUAUUGAGCAAAAGGAACAAAUUCUCCGAGACUGGCUAGAAAGAGAAGAACAUCAUCAUGGAACUGUAGCAAUGAAGCAGUUUCUAAAUAUUUGGUGUAAUAUCUUUCCAAUAAAAGACAUUUCAGAAUUUACA